GCUCAAAGCCAGAUACAAUUCCCUCUUCUGUUUAAUUUCGCUGAGACAGCGUAAUGAAGAUAAAAUUUCGGUGUUCAAUCUAUUUAUGUUGCUCAAUUGCUCCAACGAAUCCAAGAAAUUAAACGGCACUAUGAGGCCCUUUUAUUCCUUAAUAUAAUUGUCUCUUAUUUGUUUCGUUUAUUUUCUGAGCAUAAGCAUUCUCACUGAUACAUAUAGGGAAUUGUAACUGGCUUUGGAAGAAUUUAGGGAUACUAUGCGACAAUGGAUACUGCUUGGUGAAUCUGCCCAAAAGAAAUGCCCAACUUUGAUGGGAUGGAAAAGGAAUAAGGGGAGUGGAAUUUCUAGCUUUCUGGAAUGAGGCUUUGACUUCUCAGUUGUCAAUUAAGUUCCAUGUUUUUUGUUGGUAAAAAGGCAUAUACCAUUCAAGAUUAACUGUAUGCCAUGGGAGGGAAAUGAUGAUUGUCCUACUAUUACUGCUUUUUCUGCUUUUGGGCUAUACUCCACACUGCCAAUAUGCUAAAAGCUCUAGAGCUUUGACCUACAGUCGAGGUGAAAGCAAAGCAGUUACAAAAACGAGAUACAGGGACCGAGUGGAAGAGUUAAAAUCUAUAGGCCUGUCCGACAACAUCUAUGUAGUUGAAGUGCAGUUGAAGUUUAUCAAUGGAAGUCGGAUUUGCCGGAGACAUUAGCAUGGAGGAUAGCGCAAUAUGCACUGGACAAUUCCAAGAGCACAGAGCAUUACACCCUUUCUAGGGUGUUCACAAUGGUGGAAAGUAUGAUCAUAUUACUGUCAAUUUUAGCCAAUAUUUGGCCUUUAUAGUGCUGUGCUUUUUUAUGUCAGAUAACUUACUGCGAGAAAUUAGAAUUUAACAAUUCUUAGUAGUUGUAAACAAUGAUCUUCAUAGGUUAGAUAUUAGUUGAGAAACAAGCAAGAAAUAUGUAUGUAAUUUGAUUCUUUA
This is a long non-coding RNA of Lycium ferocissimum, 959 nucleotides long. RefSeq lists it as uncharacterized. The record is from RefSeq and is a predicted model, not a curated record. Lineage: Eukaryota; Viridiplantae; Streptophyta; Magnoliopsida; Solanales; Solanaceae. The transcript is spliced from 3 exons.